GAUGAACGCUGACAGAAUGCUUAACACAUGCAAGUCUACUUGAAUUUGGGUUUUUUUACUUAGAUUUGGGUGGCGGACGGGUGAGUAACGCGUAAAGAACUUGCCUCACAGCUAGGGACAACAUUUGGAAACGAAUGCUAAUACCUGAUAUUAUGAUUAUAAGGCAUCUUAGACUUAUGAAAGCUAUAUGCGCUGUGAGAGAGCUUUGCGUCCCAUUAGCUAGUUGGAGAGGUAACGGCUCACCAAGGCGAUGAUGGGUAGCCGGCCUGAGAGGGUGAACGGCCACAAGGGGACUGAGACACGGCCCUUACUCCUACGGGAGGCAGCAGUGGGAAAUAUUGGACAAUGGACCAAGAGUCUGAUCCAGAAAUUCUGUGUGCACGAUGACGUUUUUCGGAAUGUAAAGUGCUUUCAGUUGGGAAGAAAAAAAUGACGGUACCAACAGAAGAAGUGACGGCUAAAUACGUG
This 468-nucleotide ribosomal RNA is filed under the name uncultured bacterium. Its description in RNAcentral is "partial 16S ribosomal RNA". It matches the Rfam family "Bacterial small subunit ribosomal RNA", at positions 28 to 507 of the family's 1533-position model. The record is from RNAcentral.